GUGAAGUGCUUUGAAGGCUGCCAACAAAAUGCCAAGUCAGCCCAUUGACAGAAAAAGGAAGAGAAACCUUUGGAAAAUACAUUAUUGUUUCCCAUUAGCUUACUUUCCAUCUGAAUCUGAGCACCUGACCUGAGGAAGGAGAGUGAACAUAGAAUGGCGAAUUUGUUCUAGGACAGUGAAUGAUCUGAGAGUGUUGGGAAGAGGGAGCCAUGCUGCGUAGACCAGAAAGCAGGGCAAUGGAGGAAUGGAUACAAUAGAUGCAGAAAAAAACAUUUGAGAAAAUACAACAACAUGGGAUGAAAACUCUCAGGAAACCAGGGAUAAAUGGAAUUUCCUCAACCUGACAGAGCAUUUAUGAAAGACCUGCAGUUAACAUCAUAUUUACUGGUGAAAGAUUGAAUAAUUUCCCUCUAGGUUGGGAAAUAAGGGAAAGCAUGACCACUUUCACCACAUCUAUUUGACAUUGUACUGGAAGUCAUAGCCAGUGCAAUAAGACAGGAAAAAGA
Prionailurus viverrinus (fishing cat) is the source of this 506-nucleotide long non-coding RNA. RefSeq lists it as uncharacterized. The transcript has 3 exons. Lineage: Eukaryota; Metazoa; Chordata; Mammalia; Carnivora; Felidae. The record is from RefSeq and is a predicted model, not a curated record.